GUACACUCCUACGGGAGGCAGCAGUGGGGAAUUUUGGACAAUGGGCGAAAGCCUGAUCCAGCAAUGCCGCGUGAGUGAAGAAGGCCUUCGGGUUGUAAAGCUCUUUUGUCAGGGAAGAAACGGUGAAAGCUAAUAUCUUUUGCUAAUGACGGUACCUGAAGAAUAAGCACCGGCUAACUACGUGCCAGCAGCCGCGGUAAUACGUAGGGUGCAAGCGUUAAUCGGAAUUACUGGGCGUAAAGCGUGCGCAGGCGGUUUUGUAAGUCUGAUGUGAAAUCCCCGGGCUCAACCUGGGAAUUGCAUUGGAGACUGCAAGGCUAGAAUCUGGCAGAGGGGGGUAGAAUUCCACGUGUAGCAGUGAAAUGCGUAGAUAUGUGGAGGAACACCGAUGGCGAAGGCAGCCCCCUGGGUCAAGAUUGACGCUCAUGCACGAAAGCGUGGGGAGCAAACAGGAUUAGAUACCCCAGUAGUCCCAUGA
This 478-nucleotide ribosomal RNA is filed under the name uncultured organism. RNAcentral describes it as "partial 16S ribosomal RNA". It matches the Rfam family "Bacterial small subunit ribosomal RNA", at positions 331 to 800 of the family's 1533-position model. The record is from RNAcentral.